Molecule: ribosomal RNA, 128 nt
Filed under: uncultured eukaryote
Lineage: Eukaryota
Description: partial small subunit ribosomal RNA
Rfam family: Eukaryotic small subunit ribosomal RNA
Source: RNAcentral
CCCUGCCAUUUGUACACACCGCCCGUCGCUACUACCGAUUGAAUGGCUUAGUGAGCCCUUGGGAGUGGUCCAUUUGAGCCGGCAACGGCACGUUUGGACUGCAAACUUGGGCAAACUUGGUCAUUUAG